RNAcentral lists this ribosomal RNA (795 nucleotides) under uncultured Planctomycetia bacterium. RNAcentral describes it as "bacterial SSU rRNA". It matches the Rfam family "Bacterial small subunit ribosomal RNA", at positions 58 to 886 of the family's 1533-position model. The record is from RNAcentral. Lineage: Bacteria; Pseudomonadati; Planctomycetota; Planctomycetia.
CAAGUCGGGGGAAUCCCAGCAAUGGGGGAACCGGCGUAAGGGGCAGUAAGGCGUGGGUACCUACCCUGGGGUUCGGGAUAGCUGUCCGAGAGGGCAGGUAAUACCGGAUGACCUGGUGACAGCAAAGAUUUAUCGCCCUGGGAGGGGCCCACGUGAUAUUAGGUAGUUGGCGGGGUAACGGCCCACCAAGCCUUAGAUGUCUAGCGGGUGUGAGAGCACGACCCGCGCCACUGGCACUGAGACACUGGCCAGACACCUACGGGUGGCUGCAGUCGAGGAUCUUCGGCAAUGGGCGCAAGCCUGACCGAGCGACGCCGCGUGGGCGAUGAAGGCCUUCGGGUUGUAAAGCCCUGUCGGGGGGGAGAAAAGGGUAAAACUUUGAUCUAUCCCCGGAGGAAGCACGGGCUAAGUUCGUGCCAGCAGCCGCGGUAAGACGAACCGUGCGAACGUUGUUCGGAAUCACUGGGCUUAAAGGGCGCGUAGGCGGGCCUCCAAGUCCGGGGUGAAAGCCUCCAGCCUAACUGGAGAAGCGCCUCGGAGACUGGGGGCCUCGAGGGAGGUAGGGGCAAGCGGAACUAUGGGUGGAGCGGUGAAAUGCAUUGAUAUCCAUAGGAACUCCGGUGGCGAAGGCGGCUUGCUGGACCUCUUCUGACGCUGAGGCGCGAAAGCCAGGGGAGCAAACGGGAUUAGAUACCCCGGCAGUCCUGGCCCUAAACGUUGGGGACUAGGUAGUCGACCAGACAUGGGUUGACUGCCGGAGCAAAAGUGCUAAGUCCCCCGCCUGGGGAGUAUGGU